Molecule: ribosomal RNA, 293 nt
Filed under: uncultured bacterium
Lineage: Bacteria
Description: partial 16S ribosomal RNA
Rfam family: Bacterial small subunit ribosomal RNA
Source: RNAcentral
GUGUCAGCCGCCGCGGUAACACGUAGGGGGCGAGCGUUGUCCGGAUUCAUUGGGCGUAAAGAGCUCGUAGGCGGCUCAGUAAGUCGGGUGUGAAACCCUCAGGCUCAACCUGGGGACGCCACUCGAUACUGCUGUGGCUAGAGUCCAGUAGAGGAGUGUGGAAUUCCCGGUGUAGCGGUGAAAUGCGCAGAUAUCGGGAGGAACACCAACGGCGAAGGCAGCACUCUGGGCUGGAACUGACGCUGAGGAGCGAAAGCGUGGGUAGCAAACAGGAUUAGAUACCCCCGUAGUCC